GCAAUGGUGGUUCAGUGGUAGAACUCUUGCCUUGUGUACAGGAAACCUUAGUUUGCUUCCUGGCCAAGGCA
RNAcentral lists this transfer RNA (71 nucleotides) under Loxodonta africana (African savanna elephant). It matches the Rfam family "tRNA". From Rfam's summary of the family: Transfer RNA (tRNA) molecules are approximately 80 nucleotides in length. Their secondary structure includes four short double-helical elements and three loops (D, anti-codon, and T loops). The record is from Rfam by way of RNAcentral. Lineage: Eukaryota; Metazoa; Chordata; Mammalia; Proboscidea; Elephantidae.